RNAcentral lists this ribosomal RNA (464 nucleotides) under uncultured bacterium. RNAcentral describes it as "bacterial SSU rRNA". It matches the Rfam family "Bacterial small subunit ribosomal RNA", at positions 33 to 518 of the family's 1533-position model. The record is from RNAcentral.
ACGCUGGCGGUGUGCCUCAUACAUGCAAGUCGAACGAUAAGGUUCCUUCGGGAAUACAUAAGUGGCGGACGGGUGAGUACAACAUAGGAAAUCUGCCCUAAAGCGGGGGAGUAACAGAGGGAAACUUCUGCUAAUACCCCAUAUGAGCUUGGUUGAAAUACCAAUCUUGAAAGAUUUAUCACUUUAGGAUGAGCCUGUGCCUGAUUAGCUAGUAGGUGAGGUAAAGGCUCACCUAGGCGACGAUCUCUAGCUGGUCUGAGAGGAUGAUCAGCCACAUUGGGACUGAGACACGGCCCAGACUCCUACGGGAGGCAGCAGUAGGGAAUAUUGCACAAUGGAGGAAACUCUGAUGCAGCCAUGCCGCGUGUGUGAAGAAGGCCUUCGGGUUGUAAAGCGCUUUCGGAGGGGAGGAGAAUGACGUUACCCUCAGAAGAAGCACCGGCUAACUCCGUGCCAGCAGCGGC